AACAAGGUCUCCGUUGGUGAACCAGCGGAGGGAUCAUUACCGAGUUUACAACUCCCAAACCCAUGUGAACAUACCUACUGUUGCUUCGGCGGGAUUGCCCCGGGCACCUCGUGUGCCCCGGAUCAGGCGCCCGCCUAGGAAACUUAACUCUUGUUUUAUUUUGGAAUCUUCUGAGUAGUUUUUACAAAUAAAUAAAAACUUUCAACAACGGAUCUCUUGGUUCUGGCAUCGAUGAAGAACGCAGCGAAAUGCGAUAAGUAAUGUGAAUUGCAGAAUUCAGUGAAUCAUCGAAUCUUUGAACGCACAUUGCGCCCGCCAGUAUUCUGGCGGGCAUGCCUGUCUGAGCGUCAUUUCAACCCUCAUGCCCCUAGGGCGUGGUGUUGGGGAUCGGCCAAAGCCCGCGAGGGACGGCCGGCCCCUAAAUCUAGUGGCGGACCCGUCGUGGCCUCCUCUGCGAAGUAGUAAUAUUCCGCAUCGGACAGCGACGAGCCCCUGCCGUUAAACCCCCAACUUUCUAAGGUUGACCUCAGAUCAGGUAGGAAUACCCGCUGAACUUAAGCAUAUUCAUUAUUACUUUAAGGAGCAAAAGAAACCAACAGGGAUUGCCCUAGUAACGGCGAGUGAAGCGGCAACAGCUCAAAUUUGAAAUCUGGCGCAAGCCCGAGUUGUAAUUUGCAGAGGAUGUUUCUGGCGACGCGCCUUCCGAGUUCCCUGGAACGGGACGCCAUAGAGGGUGAGAGCCCCGUACGGUUGGAUGCCUAGCCUCUGUGAAACUCCUUCGACGAGUCGAGUAGUUUGGGAAUGCUGCUCUAAAUGGGAGGUAUACGUCUUCUAAAGCUAAAUACCGGCCAGAGACCGAUAGCGCACAAGUAGAGUGAUCGAAAGAUGAAAAGCACUUUGAAAAGAGGGUUAAAAAGUACGUGAAAUUGUUGAAAGGGAAGCGUUCAUGACCAGACUUGGGCAGGUUGAUCAUCCGUGGUUCUCCGCGGUGCACUCUGCCUGCCCAGGCCAGCAUCAGUUCGCUCCGGGGGAUAAAGGCUCUGGGAAUGUGGCUCCUCCGGGAGUGUUAUAGCCCGCUGCGUAAUACCCUGGGGUGGACUGAGGUUCGCGCUCUGCAAGGAUGCUGGCGUAGACGACAUCAACGACCCGUCUUAACCCCCGGGACCAGGG
RNAcentral lists this ribosomal RNA (1170 nucleotides) under Clonostachys sp. CHTAM89. Its description in RNAcentral is "eukaryotic LSU rRNA". The stretch from base 522 to 1170 matches the Rfam family "Eukaryotic large subunit ribosomal RNA", at positions 1 to 671 of the family's 3401-position model. The record is from RNAcentral. Lineage: Eukaryota; Fungi; Ascomycota; Sordariomycetes; Hypocreales; Bionectriaceae.